This 468-nucleotide ribosomal RNA is filed under the name uncultured bacterium. RNAcentral's name for it is "partial 16S ribosomal RNA". It matches the Rfam family "Bacterial small subunit ribosomal RNA", at positions 28 to 507 of the family's 1533-position model. The record is from RNAcentral.
GACGAACGCUGGCGGCGUGCUUAACACAUGCCAGUCGAACGGAAAGGCCCUGCUUUUGUGGGGUGCUCGAGUGGCGAACGGGUGAGUAACACGUGAGUAACCUGCCCUUGACUUUGGGAUAACUUCAGGAAACUGGGGCUAAUACCGGAUAGGAGCUCCUGCUGCAUGGUGGGGGUUGGAAAGUUUCGGCGGUUGGGGAUGGACUCGCGGCUUAUCAGCUUGUUGGUGGGGUAGUGGCUUACCAAGGCUUUGACGGGUAGCCGGCCUGAGAGGGUGACCGGCCACAUUGGGACUGAGAUACGACCCAGACUCCUACGGGAGGCAGCAGUGGGGAAUAUUGCACAAUGGGCGGAAGCCUGAUGCAGCAACGCCGCGUGCGGGAUGACGGCCUUCGGGUUGUAAACCGCUUUCGCCUGUGACGAAGCGUGAGUGACGGUAAUGGGUAAAGAAGCACCGGCUAACUACGUG